GAUGAACGCUGGCGGCGUGCCUAACACAUGCAAGUCGAACGGGUGUGGUAUCAGGGAAAAGGGGUUUACUUCUUUGACCAGAUAACACACUAGUGGCGGACGGGUGAGUAACGCGUGGAUAACCUGCCUUAUACAGGGGGAUAACAGGGAGAAAUUCUUGCUAAUACCCCAUAGGUAUGUCUGACGCAUGUUGGACAUAUUAAAGCUUUGGCGGUAUAAGAUGGGUCCGCGUCUGAUUAGCUAGUUGGUGGGGUAAAGGCCCACCAAGGCGACGAUCAGUAGCCGGCUUGAGAGAGUGGACGGCCACAUUGGGACUGAGACACGGCCCAAACUCCUACGGGAGGCAGCAGUGGGGAAUAUUGCACAAUGGGGGAAACCCUGAUGCAGCGACGCCGCGUGAAGGAAGAAGGUCUUCGGAUCGUAAACUUCUAUCAGCAGGGAAGAAGGAAGUGACAGUACCUGAGUAAGAAGCCCCGGCUAACUACGUGCCAGCAGCCGCGGUAAACAUACUCG
RNAcentral lists this ribosomal RNA (513 nucleotides) under uncultured bacterium. RNAcentral describes it as "bacterial SSU rRNA". It matches the Rfam family "Bacterial small subunit ribosomal RNA", at positions 28 to 531 of the family's 1533-position model. The record is from RNAcentral.